GAGCGGCGGACGGGUUAGUAACGCGUGGGAACGUACCCUUCUCUAGGGAAUAGCCACUGGAAACGGUGAGUAAUACCUUAUACGCCCUUCGGGGGAAAGAUUUAUCGGAGUUGGAUCGGCCCGCGUUAGAUUAGAUAGUUGGUGGGGUAAUGGCCUACCAAGUCUACGAUCUAUAGCUGGUUUGAGAGGAUGAUCAGCAACACUGGGACUGAGACACGGCCCAGACUCCUACGGGAGGCAGCAGUAGGGAAUCUUAGACAAUGGGCGCAAGCCUGAUCUAGCGAUGCCGCGUGUGUGACGAAGGCCUUAGGGUCGUAAAGCACUUUCGCCAGGGAUGAUCAUGACAGUACCUGGUAAAGAAACCCCGGCUAACUCCGUGCCAGCAGCCGCGGUAAUACGGAGGGGGUUAGCGUUGUUCGGAAUUACUGGGCGUAAAGCGCACGUAGGCGGAUUGGAAAGUUGGGGGUGAAAUCCCGGGGCUCAACCCCGGAACUGCCUCC
Molecule: ribosomal RNA, 500 nt
Filed under: uncultured bacterium
Lineage: Bacteria
Description: bacterial SSU rRNA
Rfam family: Bacterial small subunit ribosomal RNA
Source: RNAcentral